This 74-nucleotide transfer RNA is filed under the name Bacillus sp. UFRGS-B20. RNAcentral's name for it is "tRNA-Gly". The record is from RNAcentral. Lineage: Bacteria; Bacillati; Bacillota; Bacilli; Caryophanales; Bacillaceae.
GCGAAGUAGUUCAGUGGUAGAAUAACAACCUUGCCAAGGUUGGGGUCGCGUUCGGAAUCCCGUCUUCCGCUCAA